AGGGAUGGGGAUAUCCUUUCGAAAGGAGGGGCAAUACCGAAUAUUGUCCGGAGCCGUGAAGGGUUCCGGGGAAAGGGAGGCCUCUGACACAAGCUUUCGCCUUAAGAUGAGCCCAUGGCCCAUCAGCUAGUUGGUAGGGUAAAGGCCUACCAAGGCUACGACGGGUCGCUGGUCUGAGAGGACGACCAGCCACACUGGCACUGAGAUACGGGCCAGACUCCUACGGGAGGCAGCAGUGAGGAAUAUUGCGCAAUGGGGGAAACCCUGACGCAGCAACGCCGCGUGUGGGAAGAAGGCCUUCGGGUCGUAAACCACUUUUACUCGGGACGAAAAAGGGAUAUCAAAUAAAUAUCCCCGAUGACGGUACCGUGAGAAUAAGCCACGGCUAACUCUGUGCCAGCAGCCGCGGUAAGACAGAGGUGGCAAGCGUUGUUCGGAAUUACUGGGCGUAAAGAGUCUGUAGGUGGUUUGUCAAGUCUUUGGUGA
RNAcentral lists this ribosomal RNA (486 nucleotides) under uncultured bacterium. RNAcentral describes it as "bacterial SSU rRNA". It matches the Rfam family "Bacterial small subunit ribosomal RNA", at positions 133 to 597 of the family's 1533-position model. The record is from RNAcentral.